This 167-nucleotide long non-coding RNA is filed under the name Sus scrofa (pig). Its description in RNAcentral is "lncRNA (ENSSSCG00070004244.1)". Lineage: Eukaryota; Metazoa; Chordata; Mammalia; Artiodactyla; Suidae. The record is from RNAcentral.
ACCUGUCAAUUAUCAAGAGUUUUCUUUGCUUCAGAGGAGCUCUUUUGAGGAGAGAGAUCAAGUCACGUGGAAAUUUUCUUCCCUCUCUAUAACUGUAAGCUGCCAGUAACCCUUCAGAGCUCUGGGUCUCAGUGAAUCAUCAAUUGAGAGAGAAAGAGGUGCCAGCU